GACGAACGCUGGCGGCGUGCUUAACACAUGCAAGUCGAACGGAAAGGCCCUGCUUUUGUGGGGUGCUCGAGUGGCGAACGGGUGAGUAACACGUGAGUAACCUGCCCUUGACUUUGGGAUAACUUCAGGAAACUGGGGCUAAUACCGGAUAGGAGCUCCUGCUGCAUGGUGGGGGUUGGAAAGUUUCGGCGGUUGGGGAUGGACUCGCGGCUUAUCAGCUUGUUGGUGGGGUAGUGGCUUACCAAGGCUUUGACGGGUAGCCGGCCUGAGAGGGUGACCGGCCACAUUGGAACUGAGAUACGGCCCAGACUCCUACGGGAGGCAGCAGUGGGGAAUAUUGCACAAUGGGCGGAAGCCUGAUGCAGCAACGCCGCGUGCGGGAUGACGGCCUUCGGGUUGUAAACCGCUUUCGCCUGUGACGAAGCGUGAGUGACGGUAAUGGGUAAAGAAGCACCGGCUAACUACGUGCCAGCAGCCGCGGUGAUACGUAGGGUGCGAGCGUUGUCCGGAUUUAUUGGGCGUAAAGGGCUCGUAGGUGGUUGAUCGCGUCGGAAGUGUAAUCUUGGGGCUUAACCCUGAGCGUGCUUUCGAUACGGGUUGACUUGAGGAAGGUAGGGGAGAAUGGAAUUCCUGGUGGAGCGGUGGAAUGCGCAGAUAUCAGGAGGAACACCAGUGGCGAAGGCGGUUCUCUGGGCCUUUCCUGACGCUGAGGAGCGAAAGCGUGGGGAGCGAACAGGCUUAGAUACCCUGGUAGUCCACGCUGUAAACGGUGGGUACUAGGUGUGGGGUCCAUUCCACGGGUUCCGUGCCGUAGCUAACGCUUUAAGUACCCCGCCUGGGGAGUACGGCCGCAAGGCUAAAACUCAAAGGAAUUGACGGGGCCCCGCACAAGCGGCGGAGCAUGCGGAUUAAUUCGAUGCAACGCGUAGAACCUUACCUGGGUUUGACAUGGAUCGGGAGUGCUCAGAGAUGGGUGUGCCUCUUUUGGGGUCGGUUCACAGGUGGUGCAUGGCUGUCGUCAGCUCGUGUCGUGAGAUGUUGGGUUAAGUCCCGCAACGAGCGCAACCCUUGUUCACUGUUGCCAGCACGUUAUGGUGGGGACUCAGUGGAGACCGCCGGGGUCAACUCGGAGGAGGGUGGGGAUGACGUCAAGUCGUCAUGCCCCUUAUGUCCAGGGCUUCACGCAUGCUACAAUGGCUGGUACAGAGAGUGGCGAGCCUGUGAGGGUGAGCGAAUCUCGGAAAGCCGGUCUCAGUUCGGAUUGGGGUCUGCAACUCGACCUCAUGAAGUCGGAGUCGCUAGUAAUCGCAGAUCAGCAACGCUGCGGUGAAUACGUUCCCGGG
This 1343-nucleotide ribosomal RNA is filed under the name uncultured bacterium. RNAcentral's name for it is "16S ribosomal RNA". It matches the Rfam family "Bacterial small subunit ribosomal RNA", at positions 28 to 1378 of the family's 1533-position model. The record is from RNAcentral.